This 1656-nucleotide ribosomal RNA is filed under the name Phomopsis sp. DMTMMF 001. RNAcentral's name for it is "eukaryotic LSU rRNA". The stretch from base 602 to 1656 matches the Rfam family "Eukaryotic large subunit ribosomal RNA", at positions 1 to 1088 of the family's 3401-position model. Lineage: Eukaryota; Fungi; Ascomycota; Sordariomycetes; Diaporthales; Diaporthaceae. The record is from RNAcentral.
GGUAGGUCGGCAACGACCACCCAGGGCCGGAAAGUUAUCCAAACUCGAUCAUUUAGAGGAAGUAAAAGUCGUAACAAGGUCUCCGUUGGUGAACCAGCGGAGGGAUCAUUGCUGGAACGCGCCCCAGGCGCACCCAGAAACCCUUUGUGAACUUAUACCUUUUGUUGCCUCGGCGCAUGCUGGCCUCUAGUAGGCCCCUCACCCCGGUGAGGAGAAGGCACGCCGGCGGCCAAGUUAACUCUUGUUUUUACACUGAAACUCUGAGAAAAAACACAAAUGAAUCAAAACUUUCAACAACGGAUCUCUUGGUUCUGGCAUCGAUGAAGAACGCAGCGAAAUGCGAUAAGUAAUGUGAAUUGCAGAAUUCAGUGAAUCAUCGAAUCUUUGAACGCACAUUGCGCCCUCUGGUAUUCCGGAGGGCAUGCCUGUUCGAGCGUCAUUUCAACCCUCAAGCAUUGCUUGGUGUUGGGGCACUGCUUUUAACGAAGCAGGCCCUGAAAUCUAGUGGCGAGCUCGCCAGGACCCCGAGCGCAGUAGUUAAACCCUCGCUUUGGAAGGCCCUGGCGGUGCCCUGCCGUUAAACCCCCAACUCUUGAAAAUUUGACCUCGGAUCAGGUAGGAAUACCCGCUGAACUUAAGCAUAUCAAUAAGCGGAGGAAAAGAAACCAACAGGGAUUGCCCUAGUAACGGCGAGUGAAGCGGCAACAGCUCAAAUUUGAAAUCUGGCCUCGGCCCGAGUUGUAAUUUGCAGAGGAUGCUUCUGGCGCGGUGCCUUCCGAGUUCCCUGGAACGGGACGCCACAGAGGGUGAGAGCCCCGUAUGGUCGGACACCAAGCCUGUGUGAAGCUCCUUCGACGAGUCGAGUAGUUUGGGAAUGCUGCUCUAAAUGGGAGGUAAAUCUCUUCUAAAGCUAAAUACCGGCCAGAGACCGAUAGCGCACAAGUAGAGUGAUCGAAAGAUGAAAAGCACCUUGAAAAGGGGGUUAAAUAGUACGUGAAAUUGUUGAAAGGGAAGCACUUGUGACCAGACUUGGGCCGGGCGGCUCAUCAGGGGUUCUCCCCUGUGCACUCCGCCCGGCACAGGCCAGCAUCGGUUCUCGUGGGGGGAUAAGACCGUCAGGAACGUAGCACCCUCCGGGGUGUGUUAUAGCCUGGCGGACGAUACCCCCGUGGGGACCGAGGUUCGCGCUCCGCAAGGAUGCUGGCGUAAUGGUCACCAGUGACCCGUCUUGAAACACGGACCAAGGAGUCGUCCAUUAGAGCGAGCGUUUGGGUGUAAAACCCGCACGCGUAAUGAAAGUGAACGCAGGUGAGAGCUUCGGCGCAUCAUCGACCGAUCCUGAUGUUCUCGGAAGGAUUUGAGUAAGAGUUUUAACGGACGGACCCGAAAGACAGUGAACUAUGCUUGUAUAGGGUGAAGCCAGAGGAAACUCUGGUGGAGGCUCGCAGCGGUUCUGACGUGCAAAUCGAUCGUCAAAUAUGAGCAUGGGGGCGAAAGACUAAUCGAACUGUCUAGUAGCUGGUUACCGCCGAAGUUUCCCUCAGGAUAGCAGUGUUGAUCUUCAGUUUUAUGAGGUAAAGCGAAUGAUUAGGGACUCGGGGGCGCUAUAUAGCCUUCAUCCAUUCUCAAACUUUAAAUAUGUAAGAAGCCCUUGUU